Lactarius vividus is the source of this 84-nucleotide non-coding RNA. Lineage: Eukaryota; Fungi; Basidiomycota; Agaricomycetes; Russulales; Russulaceae. The record is from the annotation of a GenBank genome assembly.
GGCGCUAUAGUGUAGUGGCUAUCACAACGGAUUCUGACUGUUUGCUGAUUUCCGUUAACCCAGGUUCGAACCCUGGUAGCGCCU